Molecule: ribosomal RNA, 299 nt
Filed under: uncultured Lactobacillus sp.
Lineage: Bacteria; Bacillati; Bacillota; Bacilli; Lactobacillales; Lactobacillaceae
Description: partial 16S ribosomal RNA
Rfam family: Bacterial small subunit ribosomal RNA
Source: RNAcentral
UACAUGCAAGUCGAACGAGUUUUGGUCGAUGAACGGUGCUUGCACUGUGAUUCAACUUAAAACGAGUGGCGGACGGGUGAGUAACACGUGGGUAACCUGCCCUUGAGUGGGGGAUAACAUUUGGAAACAGAUGCUAAUACCGCAUAAAUCCAAGAACCGCAUGGUUCUUGGCUGAAAGAUGGCGUAAGCUAUCGCUUUUGGAUGGACCCGCGGCGUAUUAGCUAGUUGGUGAGGUAACGGCUCACCAAGGCGAUGAUACGUAGCCGAACUGAGAGGUUGAUCGGCCACAUUGGGACUGA